ACUAACUUAUUUGAUUAACACUUAACUUGUGCCUUUUAAAUAUCUGACUCUGUUUUAUUUAAUAGUGAGUUGAAUUCAAAGCUGCAAGACACUUUAGAACAAAUUGAGGAACAAUUGGAUGUAGCUCUUUCUAAAAUCUGCAAGAAUUUUGACAUUAAUCAUUAUACCAAGGUUCAACAAGCUUAUCGACUUCUUGGAAAAACACAGACUGCAAUGGAUCAACUUCAUAUGCACUUUACUCAAGCCAUUCACAAUACUGUCUUUCAAGUUGUCCUUGGUUAUGUGGAAACUAUGUUGCAGGAAACACGGAUACAAAAUUCCAAAAGCUGCAAUACAAAGAUCUCUGUACAGUAUGUAGUAGCUUAAUUAUUGUUCAUAUGUCUCCCUCUUAGGUUUUAAAUUGAUACUCCCUUUUUCUCUGUACCUACCACUUGAAGAUGCUACUAAAAGAAGAACAAACAUGCUUGCCCAAAGCUUUUUCUUUUCUCCUGUAAUAUUCUUCAUAGAAAAACUGAAGAUUCAGUCAUACAAAUGUAAGGCUGCUGAUACUGUAGUACAUUUGCUUCUAAUUGACUUUCUGCCUUCUAGCUUUUAGUUUUCUUCUCUGGCUGUGAAUUCUCCUUGCAUUGAAUCUUGGAUGCUUCUAAGGAAUUAUCUUUGUCCAGUUUUCUGUGUAUAUACAUGUGAUCUGUCAGUAUCUAUAGCCAGUUUUUCCUUUUCACUCUUAAAAAUAAACAAAUUUUUUAGGUAAUACAACACAAUAAGUAAGAAGUCCAAGUGAGUAGAUUUGAGUUCUUUUUGAAGUAGGUCUUAUUGAUGGUGUGAUACAGAGUAUAAGAAAGAGAAUGAGGAACAAGUAGGAAAUGGUAGUGACAUUUGCACAUUUGCUUUUAUAGGAAUGGUUGGGAAGCAGCAAGACUACAGUAGAAAUCAUGCAUUCUGUUUGAUAUCUUUUUUUUCUUUUAUUAUUCCUAUGGGCAUACAAUGCUUGGGUCAUUUCUCCCCCCUGCCCCACCCACU
Non-coding RNA from Castor canadensis (American beaver), 1020 nucleotides. Lineage: Eukaryota; Metazoa; Chordata; Mammalia; Rodentia; Castoridae. The record is from RefSeq and is a predicted model, not a curated record.